CCGAUUGAAUGGCUCAGUGAGGCGUUCGGACUGGCCCAGGGAGGUCGGCAACGACCACCCAGGGCCGGAAAGUUCGUCAAACUUGGUCAUUUAGAGGAAGUAAAAGUCGUAACAAGGUCUCCGUAGGUGAACCUGCGGAGGGAUCAUU
RNAcentral lists this ribosomal RNA (148 nucleotides) under Readeriella nontingens. RNAcentral describes it as "partial 18S ribosomal RNA". It matches the Rfam family "Eukaryotic small subunit ribosomal RNA", at positions 1685 to 1830 of the family's 1831-position model. Lineage: Eukaryota; Fungi; Ascomycota; Dothideomycetes; Mycosphaerellales; Mycosphaerellaceae. The record is from RNAcentral.